This 253-nucleotide ribosomal RNA is filed under the name uncultured bacterium. RNAcentral describes it as "partial 16S ribosomal RNA". It matches the Rfam family "Bacterial small subunit ribosomal RNA", at positions 524 to 776 of the family's 1533-position model. The record is from RNAcentral.
UACGUAGGGUGCGAGCGUUAAUCGGAAUUACUGGGCGUAAAGCGUGCGCAGGCGGCGACACAAGACAGAUGUGAAAUCCCCGGGCUUAACCUGGGAACUGCGUUUGUGACUGUGUUGCUAGAGUGCGGCAGAGGGGGGUGGAAUUCCACGUGUAGCAGUGAAAUGCGUAGAGAUGUGGAGGAACACCGAUGGCGAAGGCAGCCCCCUGGGUCGACACUGACGCUCAUGCACGAAAGCGUGGGGAGCAAACAGG